RNAcentral lists this ribosomal RNA (1435 nucleotides) under metagenome. RNAcentral describes it as "bacterial SSU rRNA". It matches the Rfam family "Archaeal small subunit ribosomal RNA". The record is from RNAcentral.
GUUGAUCCUGCGGGAGAUUGCUGCUAUUAGAGUUCGACUAAGCCAUGCAUGUCAAGGGAGUCUUCGGACGAACCGGCAAAAUGCUCAGUAACACGUCGAUAAUUUGCCCUUAGGUCAGGGAUAGUCUUGGGAAACUGAGUUUAAACCCUGAUAAAAGAUAUAUUCUGGAAUGAUUUAUCUUCUAAAAGUAAUGCCUUUGGAUAAGUCGGCGGCGGAUUAGGUUGUUGGUGGUGUAAUGGACCACCAAGCCCGAGAUCCGUAGGGGCCUUGAGAGAGGUAGCCCCGAGAAGGACACUGAGAUACUGGUCCUAGCCCUACGGGGUGCAGCAGGCGCGAAACCUUUACAAUGCACGAAAGUGUGAUAAGGGAACUCUAAGUGCUCAUGUUCUACAUGGGCUUUUGCCAAGAGUAAAAAUCUUGGCGAAUAAGUGGUGGGCAAGACUGGUGCCAGCAGCCGCGGUAACACCAGCGCCACGAGUGGGAAUCGUUUUUAUUGGGCCUAAAGCGUCCGUAGCUGGCUAUGUAAAUCUUUUGUGAAAUCGUUGGGCUUAACUCAACGGCAUGCAGAAGACACUGCAUAGCUUGGAACCAGGAGGAGUUAGCAGUAUGUUUGGGGGAGCGGUAAAAUGCUAUAAUCCCAGAUAGACUACCUGUGGCGAAGGCGGCUAACUAGAAUGGAUUCGACAGUGAGGGACGAAGGCCAGGGGAGCGAACCGGAUUAGAUACCCGAGUAGUCCUGGCAGUAAACGCUGUGAGUUAGGUGUUGCAUAUUCUACGAGAAUAUGCAGUAUCGGAGCGAAGGCGUUAAACUCACCGCCUGGGAAGUACGGUCGCAAGACUGAAACUUAAAGGAAUUGGCGGGGGAGCACUACAAGGGGUGCGGCGUGCGGUUUAAUUUAACUCCACCCAGAGAAUCUCACCAGCAGCGACGGCAGAAUGAAAGUCAGAUUAAAGGUUUUACUUGACGAGCUGAGAGGUGCUGCAUGGCCGCCGUCAGCUCGUGCUGUAAGGUGUCCGGUUAAGUCCGGUAACGAGCGAGACCUGCGUCCACAAUUGCUAACGGGUCCUUCAGGAUGGCUGAGCACAUUGUGGAGACUGCCUUGGAAACAAGGAGGAAGGUACAGGCUACGGUAGGUCUGUAUGGCCCGAAUCUGCUGGGCUACACGCGCGCAACAAUGGUAGGGACAAUGGGAUGCAACUCCGAAAGGAGAAGCUAAUCCUCUAAACCCUAUCUAAGUCCAGAUUGAGGAUUGUAACUCAUCCUCAUGACGUUGGAAUCCCUAGUAAUUGGAUGUUAUCAGCGUCCAGUGAAUAUGUCCCUGCUCCUUGUACACACCGCCCGUCAAACCACUCGAGCAGGGUUUAGGUGAGCUUUGGUCUUCAUUGAUUAGAUCGAACCUAAGCUCAGUGAGAUGGGUUAAGUCGUCACAAGGUA